CUCCCUGUGGCUCAGCUGGUAGAGCAUGGUGUUUGCAAUGGUGUUUGCAACGCCAGGGUUGUGGGUUUGAUUCCCACGGGGGACC
Salmo salar (Atlantic salmon) is the source of this 85-nucleotide non-coding RNA. NCBI's taxonomy places the organism in Eukaryota, Metazoa, Chordata, Actinopteri, Salmoniformes, Salmonidae. The record is from Rfam.